This 529-nucleotide ribosomal RNA is filed under the name uncultured Gammaproteobacteria bacterium. RNAcentral's name for it is "bacterial SSU rRNA". It matches the Rfam family "Bacterial small subunit ribosomal RNA", at positions 57 to 560 of the family's 1533-position model. Lineage: Bacteria; Pseudomonadati; Pseudomonadota; Gammaproteobacteria. The record is from RNAcentral.
GCAGUCGAACGGUAAACGACGAAAACAAUCCCUUCGGGGUGCGUUUUCGGGCGUUCGAGCUGGCGGACGGGUGCGUAACGCGUAGGAAUCUACCCUUAUAGUGGGGGACAACUCGGGGAAACUCGAGCUAAUACCGCAUAAGCCUUACGAGGGAAAGCAGGGGAUCUUCGGACCUUGCGCUAUUAGAUGAGCCUGCGUCGGAGUAGCUUGUUGGUAGGGUAAUGGCCUACCAAGGCAACGAUCCGUAGCUGGUCUGAGAGGAUGAUCAGCCACACUGGGACUGAGACACGGCCCAGACUCCUACGGGAGGCAGCAGUGGGGAAUAUUGGACAAUGGGCGCAAGCCUGAUCCAGCAAUGCCGCGUGUGUGAAGAAGGCCUUAGGGUUGUAAAGCACUUUCAGUAGGGAAGAAAUGCGUGUAGUUAAUAACUGCGCGUCUUGACGGUACCUACNGAAGAAGCACCGGCUAACUCCGUGCCAGCANCCGCGGUAAUACGGAGGGUGCAAGCGUUAAUCGGAAUUACUGGGCG